UGGGGCGUAGCCAAGCGGUAAGGCAGCGGUUUUUGGUACCGCCACGCGUAGGUUCGAAUCCUACCGCCCCAGCCA
This 75-nucleotide transfer RNA is filed under the name Alphaproteobacteria bacterium GWA2_41_27. RNAcentral's name for it is "tRNA-Gln". It matches the Rfam family "tRNA". Rfam says of the family: Transfer RNA (tRNA) molecules are approximately 80 nucleotides in length. Lineage: Bacteria; Pseudomonadati; Pseudomonadota; Alphaproteobacteria. The record is from RNAcentral. RNAcentral also lists the same sequence under 9 other names.